This 1089-nucleotide long non-coding RNA is filed under the name Homo sapiens (human). Its description in RNAcentral is "HSALNT0321522". The record is from RNAcentral. Lineage: Eukaryota; Metazoa; Chordata; Mammalia; Primates; Hominidae.
GGUCUUCUUUCCGGUCCUCAAACAUACCUAGAUCAUUUUUUGCUUCCACCUUGGCUUUCAUUGCACAUCACUUUACCACUUCAGUUGCUCCUUUCCUUUCUUUCAACAUCCAGUUUACCUCUUUUCUUCAUUCUACUUGAACUAUCUGAUCAUUUACUUUAAUAAUUUUUCUUCUGUGAUCUGUAUCCUCAUGAUGUUUUAUAUCUAAUCUAGUGUUUUCGUUUUCUGUUUGCCUCAUUCCUUAACAUAAGCACUGUAAUGGAAUAUUCUUCUUCACUGGUAGUCUAGUUUUUGAUAUAUUCAUUGGAUCUUCUUUCUCUCCUAAAACUGUUUAAAAACUUCCAUCUGGCUACAUUUUAAUGGCCUUUUUAUCACAGUCUUUGCAGUUCCCUUGUUUACAUUCAUUUGCUACCUUCUGUCUAAUAUUUCUUAAUAUUACAUCAAAAGAUACCUACUUAUUUGGCUAACAAUUCUGAACAUACUGAUAUCUCUUACACUCCUAAGUUAGUAAAAUUUAUUAGUUUAUACAAAAUCAUAUGUUUCUUCAUUUGUAACACCACCAAAUAAUAUUCCUUUGUCAGUAUUCUUAUUAUUCUCUUGAUCUCAUUGCUUUAAGUACUGCCUUUAUUAAAACACAAACAAACAUUGUUUUCUGUUUCCGAAGUGCCAGGCUCUGUACGUAAUACUGGAAAUGCUGGGAUGAAGAAGCCAUAGUUUCUGACUUCCAGGGGACAAAACCAGCAAGAUUUUUGCUGAAGUUCUUUUGUCCAAGAGGGAAUCAAAAGCUCCUUCCCUUCAAAUCAUGUCAACCAUUUUCUUCUAAAAACAAAAAAUCUAUGUCUUUAGUAUCUUAUGAUGCUGGUUCUGGAAGAGCUUUUAUAAAGAAAACAACACGAUCAGUAACCCUGGUCCAAGAGAUGUGAGAAAAUGAAUAGUCACAUUUUUGGUAUAGUAUAUCCAUGCAAACAAUUGUAGGUCUACAUUAUCACUUUAUAAUCAUCUCACCAAGUAAUCUGGAACAGAAUGUUUAAUUCCAUGCUCUUUUUGUCGUAAACACAAUUAAAAACCUACCUAUUUUCACAUGUUAAU